Molecule: long non-coding RNA, 2159 nt
Filed under: Mytilus galloprovincialis (Mediterranean mussel)
Lineage: Eukaryota; Metazoa; Mollusca; Bivalvia; Mytilida; Mytilidae
Source: RNAcentral
UGCGUAGAAGACCGACAUUUUGAAUUUAUUUGCGCCAAUUUGAUUACCACAUCAAGUUAAGAGUUGCUCUCAGCAGUGUAAAGUAAGUAUAAUUUUCAUUUCUUGUUUACUUUAAUGAUAGCUAUAUGAUAAUUUAAGAUAUACAAUAGUGUAGCGUUUACCGUAAUUAUAUGCAUGAUAUGAGUAUAGUGAUUUAAGCAGAUCAGAUAUAAUUUAUGAAUUAUACACACAUGUGUUUGUAGUCUCGGGGAACAGCAAGGUUGACCUUAAGAUAUAUUUGUACAUUGAUUGGGUGCGGCAACUUAUUAUGUUAAGACUUGAAAAGGGAGAGUGAUUUUAUGAACAUUGAUUUGGUAAUUUAAAGCAAAAGCGUAUGGCAAAGAAUUCUAUCAUUGCAGAUACUGGGAGGGCGCGGAGUCAUAAUAUAUCAUGGAACAUGCGGUUUGAAAUUGAAAAAAAAAAAUAUAUUCGUCUGGCAAAUAAUAAUAUAUAAUUAUUGAAGUUCACCUAUGCGAUCUCAUACUAGUUCUUUUACAUGUUUUAUAUGCUGAUAUAAUUACAAGUCAAAGAUUUACAACACAUGGCAUUCUUGACCUUGCAACACAUUCAAACAAACAAAUUCUUUUCUCUGGGUCAGAAUAGAUGUCACUCACAGAUGUAUUCCGAGGAUUUAUCAAUGAAGCAAUACGGCAGAUAAGAAACAUGUGUGACCAUAACAAAUUAAUACACAAUGAUCUGUCCAUUUUCAAAGUGGUCUAUAUGAUAACGUCUAAAUAGAUGCUUUAUCAAUUGACCGUAUUGAAUUAUUACAGCACAAAAAAAGUCAAGGAAAUAAAACAAAUAUUCUUUUAUUUUUAAUGUCUAAACUUAAUCCAUAUGCAUGUAAAUGAAAAUUAAAUAAGACGUAUCACGAAAGACUGGAAUAUAUUGCAGUUUUAAAGAAAAAUGUAAAACACAGGUUCAAAGUUUAGCAACCAUGCCGAAAGUAUCUAUUGAUGAAAGAUCAUGAAAAAAUUAGAUGUAAAGUAUGACAUAUAUUGUUUCUCGAGAUGAGUGACUGUCAAGAUCUUGGUGCUUGUGGUGCAUUAUUGUUUCUCAAGAUGAGUGACUGUCAAGAUCUCGGUGCUUGUGGUGCAGUAUUGUAUCUCAAGAUGAGUGACUGUCAAGAUCUCGGUGCUUUGUGGUGCAGUAUUGUUUCUCAAGAUGAGUGACUGUCAAGAUCUCGGUGAUUGUGGUGCAGUAUUGUAUCUCAAGAUGAGUGACUGUCAAAAUCUCAAUGCUUUUGGUUCCCCUUGAGAGGGAAAAUUAGUUGAUUAAAUAAUGAAUCACUGAAGCAUGACUUGAGUCCCCCCCUUUCCCUCUAUUAUUAAGUCAGUGGACCCUUAUGAAAAUUCAGGAUCUGCCACUGAUUCCAGAAUCAUGUUUGAUUCUCGACUGGACAAACUUUCAUGCUAAAUGCUACAAUAAUAAUUAUUGGACUUAAAGUUUUUCAACCACAAUUAUUGAAAAAAUGUAAGAUCACAACAAUAGAUAAUAGUGAUCUCCGAGGAAAAUUAAAAUCAGAAAGUCCCCAAUGAAAGGUUUUGGAUGUCCAAAUUUUGUAAGCGUGUUUAUUUAUUAGUUCAGGAGGGAAUUAAUAAUUUGAAAAUGCUGUAAUUAAAUAAACGUAUUUUUUUUUUAGAUGAUGUCUUACCAAAAAAUCCAUGUCUGUAAAGUACAUAUCGGGUAAAAAGAAUAAAUAUGCCUAUGGUGUCCAAGCUUGACCGAUUGAAAUAAUAAGAGGUGAGUAUUGAAAUAUACACCAUUGUGUUUUUUUUCUUUUAAAUUGGCCCUGCAUCUUUGUCUACUAAAAUCUUUAGGUUUGUUUUUUAUUAAAUUGAUUUAUUAUUUACUAUCUGAACUCAAGUUUAAAAAAAAAACUGUCAUGAUAGCUAUUGAUAAAUAUUUAAAGAAAUAACUAUAUCAUUCAUAUGACACUAGUGUUCUUUAUAUGGGCUGCAUAAUGAAAUUAACAAAGUUAUGAUAAAGAUAGUACAAUAGUGUUUUUUUUCGAUUGCAGAUGCUGUAGUAACAAGUUUCGAAUGUAAAAAUUAGAGACCACAAUAUGGAACAACAGUACAAGAUGUCUAGCAGAUGGACUAUUUUUUUUUUAAAUAAAA